Poecilia latipinna (sailfin molly) is the source of this 636-nucleotide long non-coding RNA. RefSeq lists it as uncharacterized. Lineage: Eukaryota; Metazoa; Chordata; Actinopteri; Cyprinodontiformes; Poeciliidae. The transcript has 2 exons. The record is from RefSeq and is a predicted model, not a curated record.
ACCUGGCAGACACUGACGAGGGUUAGCUAUGCUUGACAGACACAGCUGAGGGUUAACUAUGCCUGACAGACACAGUAAAGAUUAAUUAUGGCUGACAGACAUAGCUGAGGGUUAACUACGGCUGACAGACACUGCUGAGGGUUAAAUAAGCCUGACAGACACUGCUGAGGGUUAAAUAAGCCUGACAGACUCUGCUGAGGGUUAAAUAAGCCUGACAGACUCUGCUGAGGGUUAACUAUGGCUGACAGACACUGAUGAGGGUUAACUACGCUUGACAGACAUAGCUGAGGGUUAACUACGCCUGACAGACAUAGCUGAGGGUUAACUACGCCUGACAGACACUGAUGAGGGUUAACUAUGCCUGGCAGACACAGCUGAGGGUUAACUUCAGAGCAGAUAGGCUGUAUGGAGGGAGAAUGUUGUGUACGGUUGAUUGUUUCCGUCGUUUUAGUCCAGCAUCGGCUGGAAGACAUCCACAUGUCUGAAUUUGGACAUUCAACACAUAAAAUAUUCACUUUAUUUCUCCUAAAGUCACAACUUCAUUAAUAAAUUAAUACUAUAAGAUUGUGGACCUUUUGUUGUAAAUUAUAGAAAACAUUUGGGAGGAAUUUACUCCUUUCGGUUUUAAUGCGCAAA